CUUACCACAAGGCCUGCGUUCCUGACAGCCAGAGGUACCGAUGUUCCCCUCCUAACCCUAACCCUUACCACAAGGCCUGCGUUCCUGACAGCCAGAGGUAGGCCAAGCAGCCCUGUUCAGAUGUUCCCCUCCUAACCCUAACCCUUACCACAAGGCCUGCGUUCCUGACAGCCAGAGGUACCGAUGUUCCCCUCCUAACCCUAACCCUUACCACAAGGCCUGCGUUCCUGACAGCCAGAGGUACCGAUGUUCCCCUCCUAACCCUAACCCUUACCACAAGGCCUGCGUUCCGGACAGCCAGAGGUACCGAUGUUCCCCUCCUAACCCUAACCCUUACCACAAGGCC
Molecule: long non-coding RNA, 346 nt
Organism: Coregonus clupeaformis (lake whitefish)
Lineage: Eukaryota; Metazoa; Chordata; Actinopteri; Salmoniformes; Salmonidae
Exons: 3
Source: RefSeq, a predicted model, not a curated record